This 390-nucleotide ribosomal RNA is filed under the name Sinorhizobium medicae. RNAcentral's name for it is "bacterial SSU rRNA". It matches the Rfam family "Bacterial small subunit ribosomal RNA", at positions 20 to 440 of the family's 1533-position model. The record is from RNAcentral. Lineage: Bacteria; Pseudomonadati; Pseudomonadota; Alphaproteobacteria; Hyphomicrobiales; Rhizobiaceae.
UGGCUCAGAACGAACGCUGGCGGCAGGCUUAACACAUGCAAGUCGAGCGCCCCGCAAGGGGAGCGGCAGACGGGUGAGUAACGCGUGGGAAUCUACCCUUUUCUACGGAAUAACGCAGGGAAACUUGUGCUAAUACCGUAUAAGCCCUUCGGGGGAAAGAUUUAUCGGGAAAGGAUGAGCCCGCGUUGGAUUAGCUAGUUGGUGGGGUAAAGGCCUACCAAGGCGACGAUCCAUAGCUGGUCUGAGAGGAUGAUCAGCCACAUUGGGACUGAGACACGGCCCAAACUCCUACGGGAGGCAGCAGUGGGGAAUAUUGGACAAUGGGCGCWAGCCUGAUCCAGCCAUGCCGCGUGAGUGAUGAAGGCCCUAGGGUUGUAAAGCUCUUUCACC